AUUGAACGCUGGCGGAAUGCUUUACACAUGCAAGUCGAACGGCAGCACGGGGGCAACCCUGGUGGCGAGUGGCGAACGGGUGAGUAAUACAUCGGAACGUGCCCAGUCGUGGGGGAUCACGUAGCGAAAGUUACGCUAAUACCGCAUACGAUCUACGGAUGAAAGCGGGGGACCGUAAGGCCUCGCGCGAUUGGAGCGGCCGAUGUCAGAUUAGGUAGUGGGUGAGGUAAAGGCCCACCAAGCCGACGAUCUGUAGCUGGUCUGAGAGGACGACCAGCCACACUGGGACUGAGACACGGCCCAGACUCCUACGGGAGGCAGCAGUGGGGAAUUUUGGACAAUGGGCGCAAGCCUGAUCCAGCCAUUCCGCGUGCAGGACGAAGGCCUUCGGGUUGUAAACUGCUUUUGUACGGAACGAAAAGGCUCUGGUUAAUACCUGGGGCUCAUGACGGUACCGUAAGAAUAAGCACCGGCUAACUACGUGCCAGCAGCCGCGGUAA
Molecule: ribosomal RNA, 500 nt
Filed under: uncultured bacterium
Lineage: Bacteria
Description: partial 16S ribosomal RNA
Rfam family: Bacterial small subunit ribosomal RNA
Source: RNAcentral